Molecule: ribosomal RNA, 1471 nt
Filed under: uncultured Bordetella sp.
Lineage: Bacteria; Pseudomonadati; Pseudomonadota; Betaproteobacteria; Burkholderiales; Alcaligenaceae
Description: partial 16S-23S ribosomal RNA intergenic spacer
Rfam family: Bacterial small subunit ribosomal RNA
Source: RNAcentral
GGUUCGAUUCUGGCUCAGAUUGAACGCUGGCGGUCUUUUAUGCAAGUCGAACGGCAGCACGGACUUCGGUCUGGUGGCGAGUGGCAGACGGGUGAGUAAUGUAUCGGAACGUGCCUAGUAGCGGGGGAUAACUACGCGAAGCGUAGCUAAUACCGCAUACGCCCUUCGGGGGAAAGCGGGGGGACCUUCGAGCUCGCACUAUUAAACGGCCGAUAUCGGAUUAGCUAGUUGGUGGGGUAACGGCUCGCAAGGCGACGAUCCGUAGCUGGUUUGAAGGACGACCAGCCACACUGGGACCCGAGACACGGCCCAGACUCCUACGGGAGGCAGCGGUGGGGAAUUUACCCGAAUAGGGAAACCCUGAUCCAGCCAUCCCGCGUGUGCACGAUGAAGGCCUUCGGGUUGUAAAGCACUUUUGGCAGGAAAGAAACAGCUGCAUGCCCCGUGCAACUGACGGUGCCUGCAGAAUAAGCACCGGCUAACUACGUGCCAGCAGCCGCGGUAAUACGUGGUGCAAGCGUUAAUCAGAUGGGCGUAAAGCGUACUGAACGGUUCGGGAAAGAAGAUGUAGGAAAUCAGAGCUUAACUUUGGAACUGCAUUUUUAACUACCGAGCUAGAGUGUGUCAGAGGGAGGUGGAAUUCCGCGUGUAGCAGUGAAAUGCGUAGAAUAUGCGGAGGAACACCGAUGGCGAAGGCAACCUCCUGGGAUCUUUUGGCAGCCAUGCACGAAAGCGUAGAGGGAGCAAACAGGAUUGGUCCCUGGUAGUCCGCUGGCGCGAUGUCAACUAGCUGUUGGGGCCUUCGGGCCUUGUGCUUCAAGCUAACGCGUGAAGUUGACCGCCUGGGGAGAUACGGUCGCAAAGUUAAAACUCCAAAGGAAUUGACGGGGACCCGCACAAGCGGUGGAUGAUGUGGAUUACUAAUUCGAUGCAACGCGAAAAACCUUACCUACCCUUGACAUGUCUGGAAUCCCGAAGAGAUUUGGGAGUGCUCGCAAAGAGGACGGAACACAGGUGCUGCAUGGCUGUCGUCAGCUCGUGUCGUGAGAUGUUGGGUUAAGUCCCGCAACGAGCGCAACCUUGUCGACAAGUUGCUACGAAAGAGGGCACUCUAAUGAGACUGCCGGUGACAAACCGGAGGAAGGUGGGGAUGACGUCAAAUUAUCGCGGCCCUUAUGGGUAGGGCUUCACGUCAUACAAUGGUCGGGACAGAGGGUCCGCCAACCCGCGAAGGGGAGCCAAUCCCAGAAACCCGAUCGUAGUCCGGAUCGCAGUCUACAACUCGACUGCGUGAAAUUGAAUCGCUAGUAAUCGCGGAUCAGCAUGUCGCGGUGAAUACGUUCCCGGGUCUUGUACACACACCGCCGUCACACCAUGGGGGUGGGUUUUACCAGAAGUAGUUAGCCUAACCGUAAGGAGGGCGAUUACCACGGUAGAGGAUUCAUGACUGGGGUGAAGUCGUAACUAAAGU